CCCUAUCUGCCGUGGGUGUAGGAUACUUGAGAGGAGUUGCCCCUAGUACGAGAGGACCGGGGUGAACGAUCCACUGGUGGACCUGUUGUUGCGCCAGCAGCAGUGCAGGGUAGCUAUGAUCGGACAGGAUAACCGCUGAAGGCAUCUAAGCGGGAAGCCCCCCUCAAAACAAGGUAUCCCUGAGGACCGUGGUAGACCACCACGUCGAUAGGCCGGAGAUGUAAGCACAGCAAUGUGUUCAGU
RNAcentral lists this ribosomal RNA (243 nucleotides) under Alexandrium margalefii. RNAcentral describes it as "partial Bacterial large subunit ribosomal RNA". It matches the Rfam family "Bacterial large subunit ribosomal RNA", at positions 2636 to 2891 of the family's 2925-position model. The record is from RNAcentral. Lineage: Eukaryota; Dinophyceae; Gonyaulacales; Pyrocystaceae.